Molecule: ribosomal RNA, 433 nt
Filed under: uncultured bacterium
Lineage: Bacteria
Description: partial 16S ribosomal RNA
Rfam family: Bacterial small subunit ribosomal RNA
Source: RNAcentral
AACGAACGCUGACGGCAUGCCUAACACAUGCAAGUCGAACGAGACCUUCGGGUCUAGUGGCGCACGGGUGCGUAACGCGUGGGAACCUGCCCUUAGGUUCGGAAUAACUCCCCGAAAGGGGUGCUAAUACCGGAUAAUGUCUUCGGACCAAAGAUUUAUCGCCUUUGGAUGGGCCCGCGUUGGAUUAGCUAGUUGGUAGGGUAAAAGCCUACCAAGGCGACGAUCCAUAGCUGGUCUGAGAGGAUGAUCAGCCACACUGGGACUGAGACACGGCCCAGACUCCUACGGGAGGCAGCAGUGGGGAAUAUUGGACAAUGGGCGAAAGCCUGAUCCAGCAAUGCCGCGUGAGCGAUGAAGGCCUUAGGGUUGUAAAGCUCUUUUACCCGGGAUGAUAAUGACAGUACCGGGAGAAUAAGCUCCGGCUAACUCCGUG